This is a long non-coding RNA of Monodelphis domestica (gray short-tailed opossum), 1899 nucleotides long. Lineage: Eukaryota; Metazoa; Chordata; Mammalia; Didelphimorphia; Didelphidae. The record is from Ensembl.
GGGGCUUCCCACUGCACCUCCCCUAGCUUUUCCCGGUCCAGCCUUGGCAGGCCCUGCCUGGCUGAGACGCCCAGCAGGAGGGCCUCGGCACAGCCAGACGCGAUGACUCGGCAGCCCAACCCCAGCUGACCCGCCUUCAGAGUCCUGCCCAGGCCUCCUCCUCCAGGCAGGCAUCCUGCGGCUCGGCGCCCCCCCCUCCCCCCUGACUGACACCGACGACUUUUGCUGCUUGAAAGAAGACCCGGGUCGGCUGGCCUGGCUGCCCAAAAUAGCCCGCGCCCCUCCCCCGCCCGCGGCAGGGGCUGAUGGGAGUCCGACCCCAUUCCGGGAGCCCCUGCGGAGGCGGGGCCGCUGCUCCCCCCCUUCUUGCCCAAAGCCUCAGGCCUCCACUUCCUUCCGCCCCUCCCCCUCUGAGCCGGGAAAGAAGGGGGGCCUCAGCCUGCAGCGCCUCCCUUGGCCGGCCUGCAGGCUCGGAGCUGGGCUGCCCGGCCCCUCCUCCCCCACCGCCGGGCGCCCAGCCGACGAGGCUGGAGGGCGGAGCGGCUGCGCGAGCCCCUUGGUCCGAGCCGGCUCCCCCCUUAUCGGAACUCUGUGCUUCUCCGGGCGCCCGGCAGGAAAGAUAAGGGAGCCGCCGCCGCCAAGGGGCUCCGUCCGCCGACUCCUCGCGUCCAGACCGGCAGGGGCUCGGGAGGGAUCCCAGAGGGCUUCCUGGAGGAGGCAGCGUGAGUCUGAAGGCGCAUCUCGGAGCUGAGCACUGCUGUGACGGAGGCCCGCAGGUGUAGAGGUGCUGACCGUGGCUGGGGAUGAGCGCCCGGCCCUCUCCCGUCCUGGGCUCCUUUGCUGCCUCUCCUGGGGUGCGCAUAUGCUGCCCUCCUCCUGCCUAGGAGCACAUUCAAGGGUCUCCACCCUAAAAGGAGGCCGAAGGAAAAGCCCUUGCUGGCCCCUGUUCCUCCCUUAGACCGGCUCCCUCACACGCUGGCUCGCUCAUUCCUUCACUCACUCACUCAUUCAUUCAUUCACUCACUCAUUCAUUCACUCACUCAUUCAUUCACUCACUCCAUUCAAUCAUUCACUCACUCCAUUCACUCAUUCAUUCAUUCACUCAUUCAUUCAUUCACUCACUCAUUCAUUCACACACACUCAAUCAUUCACUCACUCCAUUCACUCAUUCAUUCAUUCAUUCACUCACUCAUUCAUUCAUUCACUCACUCCAUUCACUCAUUCAUUCAUUCACUCACUCACUUAUUCAUUCUCACUUGUUCAUUCCUUCACUCACUCACUCAUUCAUUCAUUCACCGAUUCAUUCACUCACUCAUUCAUUCACUCACUCAUUCAUUCAUUCACUCACUCAUUCAUUCACUCACUCAUCAUUCACUCACUCAUUCACUCACUCAUUCAUUUACUCACUCAUUCAUUUACUCACUCAGUCAUUCACUCAUUCAUUCAUUCACUUACUCACUCACUCAGUCACUCACUCAUUCACUCUUUCACUCACUCACUCACAUUCAUUCAUUCACUCACUCAUUCAUUCACUCACUCAUCAUUCACUCACUCAUUCAUUUACUCAUUCAUUCACUCUUUCACUCACUUAUUCACUCACUCACUCACAUUCAUUCAUUCACUCACACUCAUUCAUUCACUCUUUCACUCACUCACUCACAUUCAUUCAUUCACUCACUCAUUCAUUCACUCACAUUCAUUCAUUCACUCACUCAUUCAUUCACUCACUCACACUCAUUCAUUCACUCACUCAUUCAUUCAUUCAUUCACUCACUCACUCAUUCAUUCACCCAUUCAUUCAUUCACUCACUCAUUCAUUCAUGCAGCAGGGAUUUGUGGUAUGUCUGGGUUCAUUCUCCCAAAGCCAGGCAGAAUUCCAGAACACUGAAGGAUUUGUAG